RNAcentral lists this ribosomal RNA (468 nucleotides) under uncultured bacterium. RNAcentral's name for it is "partial 16S ribosomal RNA". It matches the Rfam family "Bacterial small subunit ribosomal RNA", at positions 28 to 507 of the family's 1533-position model. The record is from RNAcentral.
GACGAACGCUGGCGGCGUGCUUAACACAUGCAAGUCGAACGGAAAGGCCCUGCUUUUGUGGGGUGCUCGAGUGGCGAACGGGUGAGUAACACGUGAGUAACCUGCCCUUGACUUUGGGAUAACUUCAGGAAACUGGGGCUAAUACCGGAUAGGAGCUCCUGCUGCAUGGUGGGGGUUGGAAAGUUUCGGCGGUUGGGGAUGGACUCGCGGCUUAUCAGCUUGUUGGUGGGGUAGUGGCUUACCAAGGCUUUGACGGGUAGCCGGCCUGAGAGGGUGACCGGCCACAUUGGGACUGAGAUACGGACCAGACUCCUACGGGAGGCAGCAGUGGGGAAUAUGGCACAAUGGGCGGAAGCCUGAUGCAGCAACGCCGCGUGCGGGAUGACGGCCUUCGGGUUGUAAACCGCUGUCGCCUGUGACGAAGCGUGAGUGACGGUAAUGGGUAAAGAAGCACCGGCUAACUACGUG